ACGAACUCUGGUAUUGAUUGGUGCUUGCAUCAUGAUUUACAUUUGAGUGAGUGGCGAACUGGUGAGUAACACGUGGGAAACCUGCCCAGAAGCGGGGGAUAACACCUGGAAACAGAUGCUAAUACCGCAUAACAACUUGGACCGCAUGGUCCGAGUUUGAAAGAUGGCUUCGGCUAUCACUUUUGGAUGGUCCCGCGGCGUAUUAGCUAGAUGGUGAGGUAACGGCUCACCAUGGCAAUGAUACGUAGCCGACCUGAGAGGGUAAUCGGCCACAUUGGGACUGAGACACGGCCCAAACUCCUACGGGAGGCAGCAGUAGGGAAUCUUCCACAAUGGACGAAAGUCUGAUGGAGCAACGCCGCGUGAGUGAAGAAGGGUUUCGGCUCGUAAAACUCUGUUGUUAAAGAAGAACAUAUCUGAGAGUAACUGUUCAGGUAUUGACGGUAUUUAACCAGAAAGCCACGGCUAACUACGUGCCAGCAGCCGCGGUAAUACGUAGGUGGCAAGCGUUGUCCGGAUUUAUUGGGCGUAAAGCGAGCGCAGGCGGUUUUUUAAGUCUGAUGUGAAAGC
RNAcentral lists this ribosomal RNA (570 nucleotides) under Lactiplantibacillus plantarum. RNAcentral's name for it is "bacterial SSU rRNA". It matches the Rfam family "Bacterial small subunit ribosomal RNA", at positions 66 to 601 of the family's 1533-position model. The record is from RNAcentral. Lineage: Bacteria; Bacillati; Bacillota; Bacilli; Lactobacillales; Lactobacillaceae.